Molecule: ribosomal RNA, 301 nt
Filed under: uncultured bacterium
Lineage: Bacteria
Description: partial 16S ribosomal RNA
Rfam family: Bacterial small subunit ribosomal RNA
Source: RNAcentral
CAGUCGCCACGGGAAUACGUAGGGCGCAAGCGUUAUCCGGAAUUAUUGGGCGUAAAGAGCUCGUAGGCGGUUUGUCGCGUCUGCCGUGAAAGUCCGGGGCUCAACCCCGGAUCUGCGGUGGGUACGGGCAGACUAGAGUGAUGUAGGGGAGACUGGAAUUCCUGGUGUAGCGGUGAAAUGCGCAGAUAUCAGGAGGAACACCGAUGGCGAAGGCAGGUCUCUGGGCAUUAACUGACGCUGAGGAGCGAAAGCAUGGGGAGCGAACAGGAUUAGAGACCCCCGUAGUCCCUGUCUCUUAUAA